RNAcentral lists this long non-coding RNA (7436 nucleotides) under Taeniopygia guttata (zebra finch). Its description in RNAcentral is "lncRNA (ENSTGUG00000021172.1)". The record is from RNAcentral. Lineage: Eukaryota; Metazoa; Chordata; Aves; Passeriformes; Estrildidae.
UAAAUGUGCAUAAAGCACUUGAUUUGAGUAACAGAGUGCAGAUUGCACUCCAAAUCAGCGGGGUGAGUUUAUUCCGUUUAGUCUGUAAAACAGGGGAAGGCACUGUCCAUCCCUGAAGGGUGCCCCUGGCAGUGUGGGGUAUUUGGAGGAACAUGGGCAGGAGCCCUCCUGGCAUCACCAGCCCUUUAGCACACACAGGACCACUCACAAUGCAGCUCAAAAGGAUGGGGCAAAACAACAAGGAAGAUGUAAUAAAACACCCCCUCUGUGCAGGGGGCAGAACUGUGUGUAAAGCCCUAAGAGCACCGGAUCCAGAAAAUAAGCUGUGGGUGAAGGCAGGGACACCAUCCCCUGCCAUGGGAAGGACCUUCAGGAAGGUUUGUGAGAUGCCUAGGAUCAGCUAUUCCUUAACAAGGCAGAGAAAUCCUCUCCUGCCUCGUUCUUGCUGUCCUGGGCUGAGGCUGCAGCCUGGCUGGGUGCUUUGGCCACAGCAAUCCUCCACCCAGCAGAGCCAGGCAGCAAGAGCCUUGUAAUAGCAACAAUCCUUUAUUCACAAGCUGGAGCAAAAAAGGGAUCUGCAGGCAGGGGGAGAGAAGGGGGUGGGGGGCAAAACACAACUGAUCUUGUAAAAGAGACCCUUAAAAAAUGCCAUGCAUGAAGGCCCCUGCUCCUUGCUUUUUGUUUAUCAGUCUGCAGUCAGAAGAGGAGAAUGCAGUAAGUGCGUGGCACACAGGGAACCAGAGGUAGGAGGGUCUCUUUUAAUAAAAAAGAAUAUACCUGAACAAAGAAAAAGUUUCUGCUAAACUGAUGGUGGCAGAUGGCAUCAGCCCCACCAUGUUCCCUUUCAAUUGCGGGAAAAUAUAGUAAAGCAAUUUAAUGAAAACGCUUAAAUAAGCAAACAGUGCAGUUAAUUGAACCCAUAUGCAUUAGGAAGGAAAUCUAAAGUAUACUGAUUCAUUAAGUUUUAUAUAACUGUAAACCCCCAGAACCUAAGACAGAGUAAGAAGCCAUGAUGAAGUGCCAGCUAGAAGGGGACCUUCUACCCAGCUUCACUUCGAUCUGUUUUGUUAUGACAAGAACAAGUGGUUUUAACAAGUACACCAUAAAUCAGGAGUGUGCACUCCAGCCUGGAGCCUUCCAGGUACCAAACUCUGCUGCAAGCUCACAUUCCUUUUCCUCUGGUAGACUUUUUUAUUUUCCAAGACAGAAAUAACUGGAACUUGGAUGCUGCCAUCUGAAAAGAAAAUGAGCAGGAAAGCACUGGCCCUUGAGGUCUAUAUUAUAUUUUUUUUAUUCAAGAAAACUUGGUGUUGCACCUGGAUGAUGAUCCCUGAGACACUAAAUUGAGGGCUACAUGUCCCUCACAUCUGGCUUUGGCAGGUAAAACAAACUCCUUUUUUUGGCAGUGAGCAUGGUUCCCCAGCUGUGACUUUUGGACAGAAAUAGGAUAGACAGAAAGCUGGGACUGGAAAGGCGACUGCUAUACUCACAGUUAAAAACUACCCAUAAAUAAAAUCCCGGGGAGAAAGCAGCUCUGGCACCACUGAAGGAAGUUCAAAAGUUCCCUUUGAUUACCAGAAGGGCAGAACUUCAGAUCAGAUCAGGAAACCUCUGGGGAGGUUUGGUUCAGGAUUUGCCUUGUGUGAUUUGGAGUGGAGGUAUCGACCCUGUUAGCUGCUUUCACUGGGCUUUCCCUGGCUCAUGACACAAGAUCCAUUCAGUUUUCAGAGAAAUCUGGUUUUCUGCAAAUAAAAUCUGGCAAGUGAUGAUGAACUGAUCCCAAGGCACAACUGUGAGCUGGGUUUUGGAUUUUUCAGUGAUGCUGAUUCAAAAUGUCAUCACAGUGAGCAAAGACCUUCAUCCUCAGUGAUUUGGGUCUGAAAGGAAGGGGCCUACAGCCAAGGGAAGGGUCUCAAGGUAACUGGAAGGACAUCCAGAGCAUCCAGGCUGGUCCAGGAGAUCAUCAGUAACCUGUGGAGACACUGAGGCCUUUGCCAUCCAUAUUCACCUGCUUUGUACACUCAGCAGAUAGAGGAUGUAACAAGAGAAAAAACUACACAGGCAAAAAAUUGCAAAAAUUAACUUUUCAUUCAUACAGGUUGACAAUGGAUGCUAAGUCAUUGCACAGUGCAAUUCUUCCUACUCAGGACAUAAAAAAAAUCCAACUACUUGAAAAUAAGCAAAAAGAAAGCAGACAUCUUUGACAAACAUGCAGAACAUUAUCGAAAAAAAUUAUUGAUUUUAAUAAACAGUAAAAAUGACAAUAGAUUUUGAGGCUGAGACUUCAUAGAGACUUACAAAUAUAUUGGGUUUUUUGUCUCUCUGCAGGUGGUGCUGUGGGGAUCCCAAGGGAUGGGGAGUGAUGGGGACAUGGAGUUGCUUGUGGUAACCUGACCCUACCACCCAGAGCACUUUGGCCAUGCUGCAAGAGAGGCAGCCCCAUUCUGAAGGGAAAAGUUCUGCUGGUAGGCAGGUGUCCACAUCUCCAUUCAGGUCCCAGGGCAGAUCUGGGGACACGCUGAGGCGCCACAGUGUCCCCAGAGAGGAGGGUGGCCAUCCCAGCUGCAGUUCCUCUGCCUGGGGCUCAGGUCUGUCACCAGCUGUCCUGGCCCUGCUGCAUUUCCCAGCAAUGCUGGAGACUUAGACCACAAUAGAAGGAAAUCACUAAAGCUGAAUUGCUCCAAGUAAGUCCUCAGCAGGGUUUGACUGGUAAAUAUUUAACAAGGAGAACUCCCUAUCCUCUCCUGGUACGUAUUAAACUAAUACAUUUAUUUUAACAAGGGAAACGGUUUCCCCAAGCUCCUGCUCAAUUUGAGCCCUUGACUUCUACAAAAGCCUCAGUAAGGCUGGCUUCCUGGGGCUCAGUAAUUCACUGGGACUAAACGAGAGAUGGCUCUGAGCCAUGAACUUGGAGUCUGGAGGUGACAGGACCUCCCCAAGGUUGGGGAGAGCUCGGUACUGGGGUUUCCAUUCCCACCUGCCUUCAGACUGGUCCAAGACCCACCUCAGGACAUGCCUGCCACCACCAGCUUCUGACCACUUCAGCCAUCCUCUGGAGCCAGGUUGGCUGUAUCCCACCUGUUUUUCCAUGUAGUUUCCAUGUGUUGGAAGCAGUUCUGAUGCCAAGUUCUCCCCACAGAAGCUUUGCGAAGCGCUGGCUCCACCAACACCCAUCCCACACUUCCUCGAUCCCCAGUCCUUCCUGCUGCCUCUCCCCAUGCUCAGAUGGAGCCAGGUGUCAUGGGCAAGGGCGUGAUGCUGGGGGAGCGAGCAGUUCGCAUUCCUUGUCCCCCACCUGGUGAUGCUGAGGGUUUAUUUCCCCUUGGCUCUGCUCUUUCCUCCAUUCCAUGAACCAGAAGGGGACUGGCACCCCCUGAGCAGAAGUGCUUUUACAACCAGUGAUCUUCUGAGAUGCCCUAAGCCAUUUCUCCUCAGGAAACCCUGCUGAGCUAUCUCCUCGUGCUUUCUGACCUAAGCAGGACACACUCACAAAUGAAGCCCCACACGUGAGAGUUUGGUUCUCUGUAAGACCCUCCCACAGGACCUGGGGCUCUGUCCCACUGUGGGCUGUGCUCCUUUGUGCUCCAAGCAGGAAGGUGGCUGCCCUGUGAAUACUGCCUCUGCAAAGCAUGCCCAGAACAGCUCACAGGACAUGUCCCUGGUGCCACAGCCCACCCAUGGGCACCCACAAACUGCAUGGCUGCUUUCCAAGGCAUUGCUGCUUCUGGGGGUCCCAGAGAUGGUCCCAUCCCCUACAGGCAGCAGAGGCUCCUGCCAUCCCAUCUGGCAGAGCCCAGUGCUGCCCUCAAGGGCUGCAGGCAGCUCCGAGGCUGCUGGACUCUCUCUAGUUCCCUCUAAUAUUUGACUAUACUAAAAUUUUAUACUAAUAUUUUUUCAGACUUUCCUUCAAGGAAAUAAGAAUCUCUGGAAGCAACUCCCAACUUUGCAUCUUUGCUCCGAGCCAUCCCAUGACUCCAGCACUUCCACUCUGACUCACGGGUAGAGGGCAGGUUUGAACAACUGUGGCUGCUUCUGCCAAGGCAAUUAUGGCUCCUGGCAUCACAGCCCAAAAGUCUCUGGGAAACUUUCCCUGCUCAGCUUACCCUGGUUGCAGUGUGUGAGAUGAUGUCUGACAUUGCCAGGAGAGAUGCAGGCACUUGAGGGGGAAAGGGAAGAUGUGGGGCCUUGAUGCAUUUGGAACAGCUCCCUGGUUCCAUAAAGCAUCUUCUGCACACUUUGGCAUCUCUCCCCAUGCCUGGUGGGUAGGUAGUGCUGGGAGAUCCUUUCAGGUGAUGCUGUGAGCAUGAAAACAUCCAAUAAAACUUGCUGUGGUCUGGGCACCUGACUUCUUUUCUCCUGCCCCUAUGAUUUGACACAUUUACUCUUUGUCACCACUAAAACGUGUCUCUGAACAUCCAUUCCCCAAAUAUUCCAGUCUGCCUUCAGUUCUUCCCAAUAUUUAAUAAACACACCUCUUGAAAAGGGCUGAGGGGAGACAAGGAAUGUUUACCUUGCCCUCACAAGCAAACAGAAAGUCUGUCCCUGAUCCCAUCCCCACCUGUCCCAGCCCACAGCAGGCAGUGAGGUCUCUCCCACUGUCAAUAAUAUCAGUAGGAAAAUCCUUUCCACUCUUCUUUUCUGGGAUUGUGAUUCCAGCAAGCCUUACAGCAGCUUGGCAGUACAGUAAAUAAGAAACAGAUUUCCAAAUGUUUUGAUUUACCAUCUUUCCUUUGUCGCAUCUGAGCCUGGGGGCUGAGGACCUGACUCCAGAAAGUCUCCAUCCAGAUCACCAACCUGCACCCACAGGCAGUAACCCCAUGGUGAGGCAGGACCUGGCAUGGGCUCAGCCUGCCUGGGGAUAUCCCAGAGGAGAGUGUGCCACGCAGAGCAGCAGCUCAUCAGGCCAACAGAAAUCCACACGCAUCUCUACAGAAGUGCCCAGUUCCAGUGCAAAAUGGAAAAUUGGACAGAAAAGAAGCCACUGGAGCACAUCCCAUGCUGAGGGUGGUAAGCCAUGAAACAUUCACUGCAGUUGCUUCUGUGCUGGUCUGAGAUGUUGUGCUGUUCCUCUUACCAUUGUCCCCAGCUGUAUUUUCCCCAGACGCUCUUUCAUAACUGUCAGGAUUUUAAUGACAGUCUCAAAGCACUGGGUUUGAUCCUCUUCCCACAUUAGCAUCAGUCCAGAUUAACUUAAUCAGUUGGAACAAGCCCUGGUGCAUGGGCAUGCAAGAGGAGCACAAAUAGCAGGAUUCAGGUACAUAUCCCUUUUAUAACAAAAAAAAACAUUUUCAGGACUUUUCCUAAUCUUCUUUUAACUGGGCUCUCCACUUGUUGAACUAGGGGGUUCUCACUGAGCUCAAACCCUUCCCUAAAAUAUUCCUUGAGGUGGCUGCAGGUAACAUGACUUUAUGCAUUAGAGCAUGAUGCUACCUGUGAGUGUCACAUCAAAUACAGCAUCCAUCUGAAGAUUACCUCUUGUGCAGAGUGGGGCUGGACUCCAGUCAGUAGUACAAUUUUGGAACAAACUUUGAGCCCUUUCUCAAGUGGAAAAUCUCUGUGUGAUGCAGUUAUCUUGCAGAAUAAAGGCUAUUUUCCCUGUCUGAUUCACACAGGUGAUGACUAAGCUCAUGAAGCAUCUCUCAGCCCAUGUGUUAUUCACAGAUCUUUCAUCCAAUACCUUCUCCCAGCACAGGAAAAAAAACAUUCUUCAACCUAAUGAUCGCAGAGGGAAACCUCUUCUCUGUCCAUGCCUCACACUUCCCAGGGUCUGCAGCCUUGGAGAAAUAAGUCAUGACCCCUCAAGGAAGUCCUCUGGAAAAGACCAGUCACUGGGCUGCAUAUAAAACCUCCAAACUUUAUCCUCAUAGAUUAAUUUUUCUCUUUUGAAGACAAUAUUUCACGCAUUGCAGAUUCGGUUUUUGAAUACGUCAGAGUCAGUUAAUGGGCUCAGAUUAGUCCCAGCCUGGUUUCACCAAAGCCAAAGUGGCAGCAGUAAGAGACACAGCCUCCAACACCAACAUGCCUCUGAGCAGAGUCCUGCUGUCUGCUGCGCAAGGAUGACUUGCAAAGUAGGCAGAUAAAGCGUGUGGUUAUGAAUUUCGUAAUGCUGGCACUCAGAUGCCAUGGUGCAGGGUAAUCCCACGGAUCAUGGAGGGAAUAUUUUGAGGGCAGAGCUUCAAAGCAGUGUCUAGAUGCUGCAGGAACUGAUGAUGGCAUGGAUUUAUUUCCCAACCCUCAUUUUCUCUACUAUUUUCUUAGCUACUACAGCCCUUGUUUUAAUCUCAGGUGUCAAAGCAGAUCUGAGACAGUCAGUGCCAUGGCUAGAGGGGACAAUCCCUGUUUCCUAUGAAUGUGUGAGCUGGACAAACCGGGAGCGAGGACCUGGAAUUUGUCACCCUCCAAACCAGGCUCACAGGUGCUUCUCAUGCUGUUACCCCUUGUGCAGGCACUUAUGAACCUGCUAGAGCCUCACAGCAGCAUCACAGCUCUGUGUGAGGGGUGCUGCAGGGUGGUAGGAACAGGCUGGAAAGCAAAAACAGCAUGGGCAGAUUCUGUGAACAGUCCAGUGGUGUCCAAAAUCCAGCCAUGGACACAUGCACACAGUGUAUGAUCACACACUAAUCAAUAAGACAUCAGAGUUAUGGUGGGCAGUGCUCGAUACUAAAUAGGCAGAGUCCUAUUGGGUUAUAGGACAAAAUCAACAUCACCCUGGUGAGUAACUUGGGAAGUAAUUAAGAGCAGUUUUAUAGGUGCCAGGUCCCGCUGAGCGAUAGACCAGUAAAACUGUGUCUGAGUCUUCUGAGGGACGGAUGUGAGGAUGGAGCACACAGGCCAGGCUCCGCUACAGCGGGGACAGUGCCUGCCCAUCCCCACUCCUCUGACACCUGCAGAGCUCAGGGCACUUUACACGGGAGCCAGUUACCCUCUCACCCCCAUGCUGCACAUUCUGGAAUGGCUCCACCUGCUUUGGAGCUGAUUCACACACGGUACUAACCAAAACUAAAGGGCCAUGCUCCCAAAAGGUUGGACCAAAAUCUUUAAGCAGUUAAGCUUUGAGAAUGCACUGAAAGAGUGUUGCUCCCAGGGUGGGCAUGCUCUGCAACUCCCUGAUCUGACCACCAAACACCUCCAGGCUGGGCAUCCAGAAAUUGAGGUGACCAGGAAGAGCAGGGUGUUUUCCCAGAGCCAGGCUUUGGGUUUUUGCAGUUCAGCCUCAGCAGAAUGGGCAGGAGGCUCUUUCCAAGAUGCCAAAAGGAAACACAGCAGUGGGACCCAUCCAGCAUUGGGUCCUCGCUCCCUGAAUCCUGCAGCCAGCGCUUGGCUGACCCAGCACCAGGGCCUGGGGAGCCAGCUCACGUUCCCAGACCAAGGCAACAUUUUUGUCACGCCAAUUUAAACCAUUAAUAAUUGUCUCCCAAACCCUCCCAAGCUUCCAA